This 151-nucleotide ribosomal RNA is filed under the name uncultured bacterium. RNAcentral describes it as "partial 16S ribosomal RNA". It matches the Rfam family "Bacterial small subunit ribosomal RNA", at positions 356 to 504 of the family's 1533-position model. The record is from RNAcentral.
GAGGAAUAUUGGUCAAUGGACGAGAGUCUGAACCAGCCAAGUAGCGUGAAGGAUGACUGCCCUAUGGGUUGUAAACUUCUUUUAUAUGGGAAUAAAGUGUUCCACGUGUGGGAUUUUGUAUGUACCAUAUGAAUAAGGAUCGGCUAACUCC